CCUACGGGUGGCAGCAGUGGGGAAUAUUGCACAAUGGGGGAAACCCUGAUGCAGCGACGCCGCGUGAGUGAAGAAGUAAUUCGUUAUGUAAAGCUCUAUCAGCAGGGAAGAAACAGACGGUACCUGAGUAAGAAGCCCUGGCUAACUACGUGCCCGCAGCCGCGGCACUACGUAGGGGGCAGGCGUUAUCCGGAUUUACUGGGGGUAAAGGGAGCGUAGGCGGCGAGGAAAGUUUGCAGGGAAAGCCCGCGGCUUAACCGCGGAACUGCUGUGGAAACUUGUAGGCUGGAGUACCGGAGAGGUAAGCGGAAUGCCUGGUGUAGCGGUGAAAUGCGUAGAUAUCAGGAAGAACUCCGAUGGCGAAGGCAGCUUGCUGGACGGAAACUGACGUUGAGGCUCGAAAGCGUGGGUAGCAAACAGGAUUAGAUACCCGAGUAGUC
RNAcentral lists this ribosomal RNA (440 nucleotides) under uncultured bacterium. RNAcentral's name for it is "partial 16S ribosomal RNA". It matches the Rfam family "Bacterial small subunit ribosomal RNA", at positions 338 to 795 of the family's 1533-position model. The record is from RNAcentral.